UCGAGCGGGCCCUUCGGGGUCAGCGGCGGACGGGUGAGUAACGCGUGGGAACGUGCCUUCUGGUUCGGAAUAACCCUGGGAAACUAGGGCUAAUACCGGAUACGCCCUUUUGGGGAAAGGUUUACUGCCGGAAGAUCGGCCCGCGUCUGAUUAGCUCGUUGGUGGGGUAACGGCCUACCAAGGCGACGAUCAGUAGCUGGUCUGAGAGGAUGAUCAGCCACACUGGGACUGAGACACGGCCCAGACUCCUACGGGAGGCAGCAGUGGGGAAUAUUGGACAAUGGGCGCAAGCCUGAUCCAGCCAUGCCGCGUGAGUGAUGAAGGCCUUAGGGUUGUAAAGCUCUUUUAUCCGGGACGAUAAUGACGGUACCGGAGGAAUAAGCCCCGGCUAACUUCGUGCCAGCAGCCGCGGUAAUACGAAGGGGGCUAGCGUUGCUCGGAAUCACUGGGCGUAAAGGGCGCGUAGGCGGCGUUUUAAGUCGGGGGUGAAAGCGUGUGGCUCAACCACAGAAUGGCCUUCGAUACUGGGACGCUUGAGUAUGGUAGAGGUUGGUGGAACUGCGAGUGUAGAGGUGAAAUUUCGUAGAUAUUCGCAAGAACACCGGUGGCGAAGGCGGCCAACUGGACCAUUUACUGACGCUGAGGCGCGAAAGCGUGGGGAGCAAACAGGAUUAAGAUACCCUGGUAGUCCACCCCGUAAACGAAUGAAUGCCAGCUUGUUGGGGGUGCU
This 730-nucleotide ribosomal RNA is filed under the name Methylobacterium radiotolerans. RNAcentral describes it as "bacterial SSU rRNA". It matches the Rfam family "Bacterial small subunit ribosomal RNA", at positions 62 to 834 of the family's 1533-position model. Lineage: Bacteria; Pseudomonadati; Pseudomonadota; Alphaproteobacteria; Hyphomicrobiales; Methylobacteriaceae. The record is from RNAcentral.